UGCUUUGUCAUGAAAGUGAAAGCUGAGGAGGAGUUGCAGGUGAUUCAGCCUGAGAAGUUCAUGUCAGUCGCAGCUGGAGAGAUGUCCACUCUGCACUGCACUGCGACCUCCCUGUUCCCUGUGGGGCCUGUCCAGUGGUUCAGAGGAGCUGGACCAGGCCACGAAUUAAUCUACAGUCCAAGAGAAGGCUACUUUCCCCAGGUAACAACUAUUUCAGACUAGACAAAGAGAAACAACACGGACUAU
This 246-nucleotide long non-coding RNA is filed under the name Homo sapiens (human). RNAcentral's name for it is "non-protein coding lnc-SIRPG-3:1". Lineage: Eukaryota; Metazoa; Chordata; Mammalia; Primates; Hominidae. The record is from RNAcentral.